This 215-nucleotide ribosomal RNA is filed under the name Phycisphaerales bacterium. Its description in RNAcentral is "partial 23S ribosomal RNA". It matches the Rfam family "Bacterial large subunit ribosomal RNA", at positions 1 to 206 of the family's 2925-position model. The record is from RNAcentral. Lineage: Bacteria; Pseudomonadati; Planctomycetota; Phycisphaerae; Phycisphaerales.
GGUCAAGCUCUUAAGUGUGCAUGGUGGAUGCCUUGGCGUGCAGAGGCGAUGAAGGACGUUGUAGGCUGCGAUAAGCUCCGGGGAGCCGCCAAACAGGCUUCGAUCCGGAGAUCUCCGAAUGAGGCAACUCGUUGCCACUACGCAAGUAGAUGGCAUCACUUCCGGCUGAAUGCAUAGGCUGGAUAGAGCGAACCCAGGGAACUGAAACAUCUCAG